This 306-nucleotide long non-coding RNA is filed under the name Piliocolobus tephrosceles (Ugandan red Colobus). RNAcentral's name for it is "lncRNA (ENSPTEG00000022587.1)". The record is from RNAcentral. Lineage: Eukaryota; Metazoa; Chordata; Mammalia; Primates; Cercopithecidae.
AUGCAGCUGAUUGGGGGCUUAUGCCCAGAUGAGAAGUACUGUUAUUUGCCAUGUUACCCAACGAAGGGAAGUGACUACUAUCUUAUUCAUCUUUAUGUUCCCUGCAGUGGCCAGCAUUGGGCCAGAAAUGGAAUUUAUUACAUGAAGCUGGACUGCAUUGCACUGUUGGAAGGAGUUCCAUUAGGAGGAAUGGCUUCUUGUGGGAACCAAACAAGGACAUCUUCUUCUCUAUAGGAUUCGGAAGGACGUUGGUUGCAACAGAUUUGAAGUGACACUAGAGAAAUCCAAUAAGAACUUCUCCAAAAA